GUCACCUUGUAGCGCAAUCGAUAGCGCGCGCGCGUUGGACUUCUAAUCCAAAGGUCGUGGGUUUGAAUCCUACCUGGGAUG
Molecule: non-coding RNA, 81 nt
Organism: Trichonephila clavipes
Lineage: Eukaryota; Metazoa; Arthropoda; Arachnida; Araneae; Nephilidae
Source: the annotation of a GenBank genome assembly